Molecule: ribosomal RNA, 497 nt
Filed under: uncultured bacterium
Lineage: Bacteria
Description: partial 16S ribosomal RNA
Rfam family: Bacterial small subunit ribosomal RNA
Source: RNAcentral
GAUGAACGCUGGCGGCGUGCCUAAUACAUGCAAGUCGAGCGAACAGACGAGGAGCUUGCUCCUCUGACGUUAGCGGCGGACGGGUGAGUAACACGUGGAUAACCUACCUAUAAGACUGGGAUAACUUCGGGAAACCGGAGCUAAUACCGGAUAAUAUAUUGAACCGCAUGGUUCAAUAGUGAAAGACGGUUUUGCUGUCACUUAUAGAUGGAUCCGCGCUGCAUUAGCUAGUUGGUAAGGUAACGGCUUACCAAGGCAACGAUGCGUAGCCGACCUGAGAGGGUGAUCGGCCACACUGGAACUGAGACACGGUCCAGACUCCUACGGGAGGCAGCAGUAGGGAAUCUUCCGCAACGGGCGAAAGCCUGACGGAGCAACGCCGCGUGAGUGAUGAAGGUCUUCGGAUCGUAAAACUCUGUUAUUAGGGAAGAACAAAUGUGUAAGUAACUAUGCACGUCUUGACGGUACCUAAUCAGAAAGCCACGGCUAACUACGUG